Molecule: transfer RNA, 64 nt
Filed under: Apomecyna saltator
Lineage: Eukaryota; Metazoa; Arthropoda; Insecta; Coleoptera; Cerambycidae
Description: tRNA-Pro
Source: RNAcentral
CAGGGGAUAGUUUAAUUAAAAUAUUAAUUUUGGAGAUUAAAGAUAAAAGUGAUUUUUCCCUUGA